Molecule: ribosomal RNA, 490 nt
Filed under: uncultured bacterium
Lineage: Bacteria
Description: partial 16S ribosomal RNA
Rfam family: Bacterial small subunit ribosomal RNA
Source: RNAcentral
AUUGAACGCUGGCGGCAUGCUUUACACAUGCAAGUCGAACGGCAGCGGGGUAGUGCUUGCACUACUGCCGGCGAGUGGCGAACGGGUGAGUAAUAUAUCGGAACGUACCGAGUAAUGGGGGAUAACCAAUCGAAAGAUUGGCUAAUACCGCAUACGUCCUGAGGGAGAAAGCGGGGGAUCGCAAGACCUCGCGUUAUUCGAGCGGCCGAUAACUGAUUAGCUAGUUGGUGGGGUAAAGGCCCACCAAGGCGACGAUCAGUAGCGGGUCUGAGAGGACGAUCCGCCACACUGGGACUGAGACACGGCCCAGACUCCUACGGGAGGCAGCAGUGGGGAAUUUUGGACAAAGGGGGCAACCCUGAUCCAGCCAUGCCGCGUGUAUGAAGAAGGCCUUCGGGUUGUAAAGUACUUUUGUUAGGGAAGAAAAGGGAAGUGCUAAUACCACUUUUUGCUGACGGUACCUAAAGAAUAAGCACCGGCUAACUACGUG